CCUACGGGUGGCAGCAGUGGGGAAUAUUGCUCAAUGGGGGAAACCCUGAUGCAGCGACGCCGCGUGAGUGACGAAGUAUUUCGGUAUGUAAAGCUCUAUCAUCAGGGAAGAAAAUGACGGUACCUGAUUCAGAAGCCCCGGCUAACUACGUGCCAGCAGCCGCGGUAAUACGUAGGGGGCAAGCGUUAGCCGGAUGUACUGGGUGUAAAGGGAGCGUAGACGGCAGCACAAGUCUGGAGUGAAAUGCCGGGGCUUAACCCCGGAACUGCUUUGGAAACUGUGCAGCUGGAGUGCAGGAGAGGUAAGUGGAAUGCCUGGUGUAGCGGUGAAAUGCGUAGAUAUUAGGAGGAACACCAAUGGCGAAGGCGGCUUACUGGACUGUAACUGACGUUGAGGCACGAAAGCGUGGGUAGCAAACAGGAUUAGAUACCCGUGUAGUC
RNAcentral lists this ribosomal RNA (440 nucleotides) under uncultured bacterium. RNAcentral's name for it is "partial 16S ribosomal RNA". It matches the Rfam family "Bacterial small subunit ribosomal RNA", at positions 338 to 795 of the family's 1533-position model. The record is from RNAcentral.